RNAcentral lists this long non-coding RNA (7984 nucleotides) under Nicotiana benthamiana. Its description in RNAcentral is "long non-coding RNA (NBEN_LNC012366)". Lineage: Eukaryota; Viridiplantae; Streptophyta; Magnoliopsida; Solanales; Solanaceae. The record is from RNAcentral.
CAACUCACUACACCAAAUAAUUUUAAGAAUCCUAAGAAUAUUGUUGUUCUUUAAAUUACACUUGAAGAUAAUUUGCAGCAAGGAAAUUCGACAACUUAACCAAACUUCUCAACAUAAAAUGUCGUUAAGCACAAUGCUCUUAGGAAGGAAAGACAACAUGAAACAUACAACAAGUCUUUAUACGAACGAACAUUUAAACAACCCGGAGAAAGGUUGUCGAGCAAACGACAUGGAGCACAAAGUAGGAAGGACACUUAAAACCUUCAAAUCCCCCGAAUGACUUAUCAUUGAGGUGGUCAGAUUUCAACAAUAGGUGCUUGCAGAGGUCUUCAUCAUAUUUUUCUUAACAAAUUACUUUUGGGUUUCUUUCGUCGGCUCGUUCUUAAGAUCAACCUCUAAUAGCUCUGAAACCUUAGAAUCACGUGUUCCUCCGAGGCUCCCAGGAGAAUUUUCACCUUCCUUUUUAAAAAAAAUCAUACCCAACAUGUACGUCUCAUUAUGCACAGGCGAUGGACUUUAGUUGGUGUCUGCUGCAUCCAAAUUUUGUACGAUAAUGUCACAUGCAUCAAUAAGCUUCUGAAUUGCUUUCUUCAGACUCCAACACUUCUCUAUGCCAUGCCCCGGGGCAUCUGAGCAAUAUGCGCACCUUUGAAAAACAUCAAACUUCUUUGACAGAUGGUUUGGCAUUUUUAUCUGAAUCGGCUUCAACAUGUCCAAUUGAUUCAACCUUUGGAACAAACUGGCAUAUGACACUCCAAUAGCGAUGAAAGCCUUUUAUUGUUUCAUCAGCCUCUAGUUAUUAACUUGCUUGGGCCAGAAACCUGAUCUAAGAGGUUUUCGGUAUGCUCGUGGGGAUGGAUAGGCAUUCUGUGGAGCUGGGUACGGGGAAAGUGAUAUAUGAUUUUGGGAGUUCUGUGGAGAGAAGUAGAGUGGGGAGGAUCAUCUGGUACACAAGGAUAUCCACGGGGAUGAUGUCGAGGCUGGAAAUGUUUAUCGGGAAAGCCCAUCAUAUCAUCUUUUCUAUUUCUCUUUCUUUUGCCAAAUCUUACUUGGAUAUUCUGAAUGUCUUUCGAACAACUCAUGAUUUUGCCUGACUUGAUUCCCUCUUCUACUAGCUCCCCCAUUUUUAACACAUCAUUGAUAGGUUUUCCCAAAGCCGAGACCAAAUGACUGAAGUAGCUAGGCUCCUGGGCUUGUACUGAACGUCUUUCGAACAACUCGUGAUUUUGCCUGACUUGAAUCCCUCUUCUACUAGCUCCCCCAUUUUUAACACAUCAUUGAAAGGUUUUCCUAAAGCCGGGAUCAAAUGACUGAAGUAGGUGGGCUCCUAGGCUUGUAAAAAAGCUCAACCAUUUAUUCUUCACCAAUCGGGGUAUUGACUCGAGCAGCUUGCUCCCUCCAUAUGAGCCCAAACUUCCUAAAGCCUUCAUCCUGCUUCUUUUCCAUUUUAGAUAGGGAACAAUAGUCUGGGGUAGCACUUGAUUAGUGUUGAAAGUAUCGAACAAAAUCUUGAGCCAUGUCAACCAAUGUAGGACAUUUACCGACAUCUUGACGAGUAUACUAGUCCAAAGCUACCCUAGCUAGGCUCUUACUGAAAUAUGAUAUCAACAGGCCAUCUUUCUCUCCAACGUUUCUCAUUUCACUGCAAUAGACCCUCGGGUGGACUAUUGGAUCUCCACACCCAUCAUACAAGUUAAAUUUUGGCGCUUUGAACCCUGCGGGCAGGCGAACGUCAGGGGACACAAACAGUUCUUUGCAAGCCAUAUUACCCUGGUCUCCCAUUCCUUUCUUGUUCUUCAAGGACUGUUUUAUGCCUUCUAGCCUCCUGGGUGUCCCAUAUUUUCCCUCUCUUAAUGUGAAUUUUUCAUUUUCAACGUGAGACUCAUCCUGCGGGCUCUGCUUGUACGAGUCAGGAACCUUGUGGGCAACCUUGCGGGGUAGUAUCAGACAACAUGAGCUUUGAGUUGGUAUUCAUUGUUGGGCAUAGUGGAUGUGACAGGAGGGCACUUUUGGGAAAAGAAAAUUGGAGGAUGAGUGACGGAGCUACUAGGGCUGUUGGCAAAACUGUAAUAAGCGGGUGUAUCUGGAGAGUAUGGAGGAUCAUUCGGAACCAUGACCGGAGUUUGGAUUGUUGGAAACACGUUCUCAAUGCAAUAUACUAAAACGUGUAUUCUUUUGUAUAGUUUGAAGUCUACUGCUCCAUCACUACUCAAUGCGGAACCAUGACCGGAGUUUGGAUGAGGGUAGCAUCUAGGAAGCUAGGUGGUGGCGGGGGUGGUGCUUUCCCAGUCAUCCAAGCCUAAUACAUGUCCGCCAUGUGUUGUCUUAACAUCUUUACCUCUUCAACCAGCCCAUUGUCUUGUUCAACCAACUGCUUUCGGGCACCGGUAUCAACCAACUCAGUUCUGUUGUUGUCUACCAUUGCCUUUUGACAUUGUGUUUUAGAGAAGAGUUACCACUUAAAAAACCACAAACCAACUACCCUUCUGCAACGAGUAUAACAAAAUGAAGUCAUCAUGUUAGCGUUAGGGAAUUUAACAUAAGAUAAUUUCACUUUAUGUGCAAUGCACCAACCCACAGGGUACAAACCUCAGCUGGCAUCAUCCCAAUUUAUUUAUUUCAACCUCUCUUUUCUUUGCUUUUCUAUCACUUUCUAGCUUGCCCAUUUCCUUCAUUUCUCUUUUUUUCAUCACACUUUCUUUAUUUGAUAUCUCACAUCCCUCAAUUUCACCUCUCUUUUUUUGUUUCCUUCUUUUUUCCUUUUUUUCUUUUUCUUUUAAUAAUAAAAAAAAUAUUCAAUCGAACCCUAUGUAGGUUGCCUACAUAUCAUGACCCCGCAUGAAUCAGAUCUUUGCGUAGUUCUGUAAAAAUUGAGAAUAAAUUAAACAAACUGACGUCCUCUUUUUUUCUUUUUCUUUUCUUUUAACCUUAAUGACUACUCUGAAGAGAAAAGAGAAAUAAGAAGAAAUCCUGUUUUUUUUAAUUUUCUAGACUUAAUGUUCUAUAACAUAUUCCAAACUCAAGCAUAACCAGCAUAUAUAUUUUUUUUGUUUCUUUUUUCUUUUAAGACAAACACUCUAUGGAAAAUUAUUAAGGGAAUCCCCUAGAAGAGAAAAAAAAUAUUUUUUUGAUUCUUUUUUUUUUCUGGAAGAAAAUCUAAAGAGUAAAUCACAUAAAAGUAUUUGAAUUUUCAUUUUAUAUCCUGACGCGAGAUUUAGAAACAAGCAAUAAAAAAAUAAAAUAAAAUAAAAUAUUUUUGGAUUUCAAUUUUGAUUGCCAAAAGGAAAAAUUUUAAUGAUAAACAAAAGAUAAAAGUAUAUUUUUAUUUCUAUGUACAAUGUCCUAAAGUUCUAGUAAAAUAAAAGGAAUUUUUUUUCAAUAUUUCAUUAAUUACCCAAGAAUAACCUUAAAAGAAAUCUUUUUGGAUUUUUGGAAGUAAUUUCUUAAAGAAACUUUUAAAACGGUACUAUAAGGAAAUUCUCUUCUUCUUUUUUUGAAUUUUUAGCGUUAAUAUACUAAAAGGAAGUACAAAAGUAAAAAAAAUUGAGUUCUAGCUAGUAAUUUAAUAAAGAAAAACCACCUCAAAUGAUUUUUUUUAUUUCUAGAAUUAGUAUUCUAAAGAAGAUUCCCAACGGUAAUAUAAAAUACAAAUUUUUUUUUGGAUUUUUGAUUUAUUACACACAUUUUCAAAUGUAAAAUAGAAAGUUCAAUAACAAUAAUAAAAUUUGACAUUACUACACACAACUAAAAAGUAAAAGAAAACAUAAAAAGAAAAACAGACUCAAAACGCAAACAAAAGAAAAGAAAAUCUUCUUUUAAUCCACUCCUGAAUGAGCGAUCCUGACUAGAUGUCCUGAGGAUCUGUCAUGCUCAAACUCUGAUAAAUAAAUUCACACCUGUAUGAGAAAAUUAAAAUCAAAUAGGUUAAAGACCUAGAAUGCUAUGUGAUACAAUAGGCUCUGUCAUGCUCAGACUCCGAUAAACAAAUCCACACCUGUAUGAGAAAAUGAAAACCAAAUAGGUUAAAGACCUAGAAUGCUAUGUGAGACAAUAACCCGUCCUGUUGGAAACAUGCAAGACAUGAUUUAGGCUAUUUUUGUAAAAUGACUCAUUUGCCCAAAGAAUAGCUAGAAGUGAAAAAUUUGUGUAAGACCCCGCAAAGUCAAGAACCUAAGAUUUACUAGAAAGACCGGACCCUAUGUGGGCUGCCUUCGUAUCACGUCCCGAGAUGCGAGAAUUAUGUAUGCGUAGUUCGGGCAGAUUGGGUAUGCACGAGAAUUAAAAAAUAAUUAAUUUAGAGAAAAUAUAUUUUCUAUUUUUCUCGUAAAAUGAUGAAACAUGCAAAAAAUUUUGGAUUUUUUUUAAAUUUUUUUAUUUUUCGAAAAAUGAUGCAGAAGUGCAAAAUCUUUUUGAAUUUCUCAUGUAUUUUUUGUCUUUUUUUUUAUAAAAACGUAACAAAAAAGAGAUAACUAAGCUUACGUGCUUUAUUUUCACACUUCAUCUUUUUUUUCCUUUUUUUCUCUUAUCUUUUUUUCUUCGUUUUAUUUCAUUUUUCAUUUGCCCUCAACUUUCAUUGGUCCGCCAAAUGACCCUUUUACCCUUGGAGAAAUGCAACAUGUAGCACAUAGGAUGCAUCUAGAUGGUCUGUUAUUUUGGGUACACCAGUCCUAGACGGACCCAACCCUUGUGUUGAGUCCCUAAGUCAAAUGCACGUGAUGCAAAUAACCGCUCAUACUAGGGAUCCGGCAUGAGGCUGAGUUUUUCUAAGUUUAAAUCUUGGGGUUUUGAUCUAGAUAUAGGGUACCCGAGCGGACAACUGGGGCCGAGGAGGGGGACAUACCGGGAGCACUAAAGUCUACUCGGCCUUGUCGCUUGCCCAACCUCGCUCUAUUUGGUAUAAUUUCUACAAACAAACCGGGCUACGCGAACGUAUGCACCAUUUUCAGAAGACUCAGAGGAGUGGCAUUAGAAGACAGUUGUAGUGCAAUUUAACAAUAUUAAAACGGUAAACAGAUAGCAUUUAGCACAAAGGUUCACAAUAAUAUCAAUAAUAAAUAAGCCAAGUAAAAAUCAUAAAACAAACUCGAAUUCUUGAAUCCUGAACAAAAAGUUCCGAGUUCUAGAUCCCCAGCAGAGUUGCCAGAGCUGCCACACCCCCUUUUUUACUACACCCCGAAAGAGGGAUAUAAUAAAGGAAGUUUUUCCUAUUAAAGGACAAUCGAAACGGGAUUUAUUUUAUUAAAAAUCAGAGUCACCACUUGGGAUAAUUUAUGGUGUCCCAAGUCACCGGUUAAAAUCUCGAAUCGAGGAAAGGUUUGACUCUGUCUAUGUCUCCGAACCAGAAAUCCGGGUAAGGAAUUCUGUUAACCCGGAGAAGGUGUUAGACACUCUCGAGUUCAGUGGUUCUAGCAUAAUCGCUUUGAUAAUACUUGGCUUAUUAAAUUAUUUGACUACUAAUUUUAGAACCUGGGUGCUUUUGCCUUUUACCACUUUUAAUUAAGAAAAUUAUCUUGAAAUGCGUUACGCGUACGUAUACCCAUUUGUUUAGCGCGUCAAAAUCAUGUCUCGCGAACGUGUCCACGAUUAAAAAUGCUUUAUUAUUAUUAAUAGAGUUUGGCCAAAGAUGCGCGAACGCAUACUCCGAUUUUAUUUUUAAAAUCAUGAUUCUAUUAAGCGAACGUAUACGCAAUCAUAAUUGUAUUUUAAACGGCCUUAAAAGCUUUUCUACGAAUAUUAAUCAUUUUUACAUCUAGGUUAGGAAAUUAGUACAAGGGCCAUAUGAGAUUUAAAAGGUGGAAGACACACCUCGAAGGCUCGAACUAUAUGAACUAAUUUAAUUAGUAGCCUAUGAAAAUCCAUUUUUAUUAUUAAGAAAAGUUCGAUUGAAGUUACACGAAUACAUACUCCGAAUUGAUUUUUAGAAUCGUGAUUAUAUUACGUAAACGUAUACACAAUCACAAUUGUAUUAGUUAGAGAGUGCCUAAAACAAACGCAUGCACAAUCACAAUUGGCAUUAAAACUAUCAGAAGCCCGACGUAGAGGAGAUAAACCGAAUGCCUAACACCUAAGCCCAAUACGCUGAAUCUCUAAAUUUCAAAUAACCGAAGUGUUCCACAUAACUCCUGAAAAACUAAAAUGCAGUAGCAAAAGAAAAUAGGUACGGACAAAUAUAUUCAAAACAUGAAAAGGCAGUUGAAUCACUCACAACUCACUACACCAAAUAAUUUUAAGAAUCCUAAGAAUAUUGUUGUUCUUUAAAUUACACUUGAAGAUAAUUUGCAGCAAGGAAAUUCGACAACUUAACCAAACUUCUCAACAUAAAAUGUCGUUAAGCACAAUGCUCUUAGGAAGGAAAGACAACAUGAAACAUACAACAAGUCUUUAUACGAACGAACAUUUAAACAACCCGGAGAAGGGUUGUCGAGCAAACAACAUGGAGCACAAAGCAAGAAGGACACUUGAAACCUUCAAAUCCGCCACUGGCUUAUCAUAGAGUGGGUCAGAUUUUAACAAAAGGUGCUUGGAGAGGACUAAUCUAAGUAGGUUGAUGAAGCAUCAUAGGAAAAAUUAUUUCAAACUCGAACUUGAUGGAACCAAACCAGCAUAGUCUUCAGAUUAUCGACUCGCCAUUCAUUUAACAGUCAUGAGACCGUUCAAUUCCAGCUGUGAAUUAUCAGGACCCAAACAUGUCUCACUUUAAAAAAAACAAAUUUGGUUAACAAAUUGAUAGACAAACGAAUGGUCUAAAAUCUCAUAAACAAAAAACACUACUUCGCCUCCCAACAAACACAUCGAAGCAGAGGUGAAAAAAUUAAGUGCGAUCUAAAUAUCGAACACAUCGAAGCAGAGGUGAAAAACUAAGCGCGAUCUAAAUAUAGCAGCCAUUUCACCCUUCCUAGGAUCAUGUGAUUAAAAUUUCUGUUAACAGCAGAAUCCAAGCGCAAAAUGCUAUGCUCGUUCAGAAGAAGAGAACAUAACGAUUUAGGCAUGGAUGAGCAUGCAUACGACCCUAACAAUUAACUACGGUCCAAAUACUCUGCAUCAAAAAUCACUCGCACUAGGGAACCAGAUAACUCAAUGAAGAACCAUGAGAAUAUACAUUACUGAUUCAGAUUCAUUUGACGACCAUACUGCAGGGCAGAAUAGAACAAUAAAUGAAAUCGAAGAUAACCACGUAAGCCUCAUCUACCAUUUUAACUGAAAUCGUUUUACAAUCCGUCCAUGGCUUACUUCACAGUAGAAAUAAAAGGAAGAGCAGGAGUGAACCUGAAAUGAAAAUUAAACUAGCCUCCACACUGAAAUCAACACAGAUCAUCAACAGCCGCAACAGCCACAAAUCGACGCCUCGAACAAAAACGAGUUCAACUAUCUCUCAAUCGAACCCCAUUUUGAACAAAAUCCUGAUUGAAAGAAGAUAUGGAAUCUACAUGUUUGAAGCUUGUAGAAAACAAACCAAACAACCAUGAAAUCACAGAAUGUUGAACAUUUUUUGUUGUAUUUUUUAGUUAAACUAAGAAUGAAGGCAAACGAUAAAGAAGAAGAAGACUAUUCUGUAGAAACCAAAUCUUCCGAAAACAAACUAAACCUCCCUCUCAAAAAUCCUUUCUAAAAUCUCUCCGACUCUCAAAAAAGAAAAAAAAAGAGUACCCUCCAAAAUUGGAUAUGGUCCUUUAUAAAAACGAACCAUUGAUAAAUGUGGGGCUUGGAUUGAACGAAAUCAAUCCAGCGUCUCACACUCAUCCAACGAAUCGUCUCUAUGACCUUCCAAUCGCGUGCCUUAUCUCCAAAUUGAGCGACUGAAGGGAAGGAGAAUCUUCGGUGUCAGAAAUCGUUAAAAAUUGGUGAUGAGGAGAAAAGGAGGAACGCAUAAGGAGAGAUUUGAGGCUCACUCGCUUGGAUUUGGACUGAAAAUGAGGGUUGGUUCGUGUUCCCCCUUUGGAUAAGAAGAACAAUGCGCAGUCGGGUUUGGGAGAUUAGGAUUGUC